CCUUCCCAGAGAAGAAGCGCUCUUUGGAGGGCAGCUAGUGGCUUGCUGGGACCCAGCUCUGGUAAUUAUAAAUCCUGAACCAAGACAAAGUGCUAGGAGAUUUUUCUGAUGGUUGUUACAGUGCAGGUCACUCCAAAUCCAGGAGCCUCGUCCAGAAGCACACAUAGGCUCUGUUGUCUUCCCCAGCAAAAGCUGCAAACCCAUGAGACAAACCCUGGGCUGUCCCAGAGCCUCUCUCCUCCUCCCAGGGGCCUGUGUCAAAGCUCCUCCUUUUGGUUCCCAGCCAACAGCGUUCUGCCAGCUGGCUCCCUGCGCCGUGCCCUUGGCUUGUGGCACUGCUGCCCUGCUGGCACUGGGCUGGGAGCCACCACGCCAGCACAGGCACUGGGGCCGUGGGAGCAGCAAGGACUUGGCAGGGAAACAAGCAGCAAAGGAGUGACCGUCCUCCUCAGCAGCUCACUGGGGUGCUACGUGGGGUGCAGAAAAACAUGCUUGGCAGCAUCUCCUGGCUUGGAGAGAGUAAACGUGUCUGAAAGUGUCCAAAUCUGUCUGCAUAGCAGGGGGAGAAUGGAAGUGAAGUUUUCUCCUUCAACAGAAGCCCGGGGGAGAGCAUGGGGGCUGCAGCUGAAGGAAGGGACAUUGCUGUGAAUGUUUGCACACAAUGCUGUGGAUAUCUGCUUCACAAUGCUCUGGAUAUCAUGGAG
Molecule: long non-coding RNA, 704 nt
Filed under: Zonotrichia albicollis (white-throated sparrow)
Lineage: Eukaryota; Metazoa; Chordata; Aves; Passeriformes; Passerellidae
Description: lncRNA (ENSZALG00000008737.1)
Source: RNAcentral